RNAcentral lists this ribosomal RNA (440 nucleotides) under uncultured bacterium. Its description in RNAcentral is "partial 16S ribosomal RNA". It matches the Rfam family "Bacterial small subunit ribosomal RNA", at positions 338 to 795 of the family's 1533-position model. The record is from RNAcentral.
CCUACGGGAGGCAGCAGUAGGGAAUAUUGCUCAAUGGGGGAAACCCUGAAGCAGCAACGCCGCGUGGAGGAUGACGGUUUUCGGAUUGUUAACUCCUUUUGUUAGAGGAGAUAAUGACGGUAUCUAACGAAUAAGCACCGGCUAACUCCGUGCCAGCAGCCGUGGUAAUACGGAGGGUGCAAGCGUUACUCGGAGUCACUGGGCGUAAAGCGCGCGUAGGCGGGUUAGCAAGUCAGAUGUGAAAUCCUGUGGCUUAACCAUAGAACUGCAUUUGAAACUGUUAGUCUAGAGUAGGGGAGAGGUAGGUGGAAUUCUUGGUGUAGGGGUAAAAUCCGUAGAGAUCAAGAAGAAUACUCAUUGCGAAGGCAGCCUGCUAGAACAUAACUGACGCUGAUGCGCGAAAGCGUGGGGAGCAAACAGGAUUAGAUACCCGAGUAGUC